UAUGGAGGUUCAUUGUCUGGAAUAGGCCUCUCUACGAUCUCAUUCUCUUGCUCAACGAUUUCAUUAUCGGGCACUACGAUCAUAGUAUUGGGCUCGACGACCUCGUUCGUAGUGUCUGAACUGUUAGUCACAUUGUCUUGGAACACUGUUUUGUCUAAGUCCAUUUAAGAUUCCUUCAUCUGAUUUCGGUUGAAUCUUUGUCAAGUACUGCUUUCCAUUGUUAAGUAUGUAGCAUGCACAGCCGAACACAUGAAAGUAGCUGACAUUUGGCUUUCUUCCUUUCCAAAGUUCAUAAGGAGUCUUCUU
RNAcentral lists this long non-coding RNA (306 nucleotides) under Panax ginseng (ginseng). Its description in RNAcentral is "long non-coding RNA (PGIN_LNC003342)". The record is from RNAcentral. Lineage: Eukaryota; Viridiplantae; Streptophyta; Magnoliopsida; Apiales; Araliaceae.